AUGCUCUUGUUUUCAGUUCCACACAUCUUCCCCAGAGGGAACAUCAGUUUUGCUUAUGAAGAGAAUCGAACAGAACUACAAACUACUCAAAGCUUGCCUGAAGCUACAACUACUUUUCCUGCAGCAAGCACAAUAAAAGCUAAGAUUCCUCCCAAGGCCCCCAGGUGGGAAGGAUAUGAGGGGAGUGAUUACUGGUUUUCAGAAGACAUGGCCAGCUGGCUCAACAGCCGAACCACGUGCAAAACUUGGAAUUCAGAACUCGUGAUCAUCAAUGACAGAAAGGAACUGGAGUUUAUUUCUAACAAAACAAGGAUGGCUGAUUAUUUCAUUGGACUGACAUAUAUGGAGCCUGAAGAACAACAGCCAGCAAGAUGGCAGUGGAAUGAUGGUCGUGAACUCGAGAGGAGCUUGUAAGUCUUAUUUUCUCUUUCACCCUUCUUGUUGUAAGCAGACAAUUUCUACUUUGUAUCAAUUUCUAGCUUAUUCUGUCCCAAUUUAUGAAUAUGCAAAAUUGUUUUUAAAAUCUACACAUGAAUAAGUGUGUGCGUGUGUGUGUGUACCUAUUGAAUAUGUUUUCUCAAACAUAUAUGCAUUGAUAAAUUUAUCUCAAAGUGCACAAUUCUAAAAUAUUUUAUCAAGUUUGGAGAAGUAGAAAUUUCGAACAAUAAGCAUGUUGGUUGUUGUGGGUUUUUCGGGCUCUUUGGCCGUGUUCUGAAGGAUGUUCUUCCUGACAUUUCGCCAGUCUCUGUUGCCGGCAUCUUCAGAGGACAGCACUCUGUGCUCUGGUGUAGUUGGCUUUGGGAGUGCAGUAUUUAUGGCUGUGAGAUAGGCUUUUGUCUUUUUCUGUAGAUGGGUGAUUAGUGUGUAUUGUUGUGGGUGUAUUAUUGUGCUAAGGACAGGGGGUCACUACACACAAAAGACCAACUAAUGACACCCAUCAACCACAGGAACAGAUAAUCUCUUCUCCUUAGCACAACAAUACACCCACAACAAUACACACUAAUCACCCAUCUACAGAAAAAGACAAAAGCCUAUCUCACAGCCAUAAAUACUGCACUCCCAAAGCCAACUACACCAGAGCACAGAGUGCUGUCCUCUGAAGAUGCCGGCCACAGAGACUGGCGAAACGUUAGGAAGAACAACCUUCAGAACACGGUCAAAGAGCCCGAAAAACCCACAACAACCAUUAGAUCCCGGCCGUGAAAGCCUUCGUGAACAAGCAUGUUCUCAGCUUUGGUCUGGAAGGUGCAGUUGAUAUCAAUUUGUAUACACUGUACAUGAAUGGCAUAUUAUUCAGGAAUUCACAGUGAUCAGAUUUUUUCAUGUAUCCCUGUUCUUAGUGCUGAUGGGUGCACCAUAUCCAACACAUGGCAAUCUCUCCUACUGGGUAUGAAAGAUUUGAAAUGUGACGCUUUAUUCUGCCUUUAAAGGGCUGGAUUCCAAGAAGGACAGAUGUAUCUCUUGUACAUUUAGCAGUUGCACUGAAGGAAGGGAUUUCAAGAACAUGAAGUUACUAAACACCCGUGCGACCAAUUAGACCAGCGUUCCCUCUUCUGUAUUAAUGGGAAAUGUCUCUUCCUGAAGAUGUUCCACAGAGGUUACAACAUUUACACCAUAUGUGGAUUGCAGACCCAUCCACCCAUUAUUAGUAGGGUAAUUGAAGGUUUCUUUUGUAUUAAAAGUAAUAGCUAAAGAGGUCUAGUUUUUAGAAGAGGAUCACUGUACAAAAAUGAACUGCCACAAGCAUGCACUGAAUUUAGGCCCAGUCAAACUGUGAUUCAAAUCUAUUGAGCCAUGAGAUAUUUGCUCUCCACUGGAGUUAAAGAGUCAGAAGUUUUAAAAUGCUCACCAACUUCUGAGCUACUUUUCCCUUUCAAGGCAAAUCAACAUUACAGAUGCUACUAGGAAUUGUAUUUGUCCGUAUCCCAAACCAGGUCUUUUCUGACUGCUUAUGUUGAUUAAAAUAAAUUGGGUUGUGGUUUUUUUUCUGGCGUAUAC
RNAcentral lists this long non-coding RNA (1998 nucleotides) under Pogona vitticeps (central bearded dragon). Its description in RNAcentral is "lncRNA (ENSPVIG00000014850.1)". The record is from RNAcentral. Lineage: Eukaryota; Metazoa; Chordata; Lepidosauria; Squamata; Agamidae.